AAUACAACGAUUUAUUUCGUAUUCCUUUUAAAAUUCGAAGUAACACUCAGAACUGCUCGUUUAUCGCGUUCAGGUGUAACAGAAGGUCUCUCAUUCCUUUUAGUUUUCCUAUAAGCUCCUGGCGUUUUUAAUACAACAUAUACCAGCUAUACAUUUUUCCCACCUGUCUGGCAAUUGGUGGAUGCCACGCCAAAAAAACUGUCACUCUUUUGAGGCAAACCAGUCGUCGAGGCAUUUUUGUACAUUUUCGUAAGAAGUGAAGUGUUGGUCAGAAAGUGCGUGUCCCAUCGAUGCAAAGAAAUGGUAAUCAGACGGAGCCAAGUCUGGCCGGGAUAGGUUCUGCUACGGGUGUAGAACACGUCGCUGCUGGGCUACUGUGCUGUUUUCCUUCUCAUUUUUGUAUCGUGGAAGAAAAAUCGGACUGCGACGUAACCUAAGGUUCGUAACCUAAGGCGCUAACCACUGCUCUGUCGUCGUCCGAUACUACUUGGUAUUUAGUGCCACCACAGAAAUAAGGAUGGAAAAUUAAUCAAGUACCUUAUAAUUUUGUCCAAUCAAAGUCAGUUACAUUUUACAUACAUCUUUUUCCCUAACUUUUGUAUUGUAUAUCACAUGAGGAAAUUUUGUAUGUUCAUUGUGCAGAUAAUGCGUAACAUAAAAACACCUUUAUCCCUUAGAGUGCUAUGAGCGCGUAUAUGCGUCUGGCGAAAGCUAUCGGUGUGGACUAAGGACAUAUAUAUGCGUUUUCUGUAAGUGUCCGGCAUGGACUAAGGACGCAUAUAUGCGUUUGUCAAUUUUUCCGAACACCUAGGCAGAAGUAAUACUAUUACGUUUGUGUGAGAUAAAUAUAAAUGCAUUCCUUAGUAACGGCAGUAAACAAAUGCCAAUAAUGCCUCGUUAUAACAGUUGUUUACCUGUUUCGCGGACAGUCGCAUCUAAUUAUCAAGAAGAAAAUGUGUUGUUUGUGUGAAAAAUAAGAGAAUGCAGAAAAUGCGAUGUCGGAUUAUGUAUCGAUAAUUGUUUUGAAAUUUUUCACACACAACUGAAUUAUUAGCUUGUGUUAUAUUUACUAAAUUUAGUUUUAUAGUUUAUCGUUUUCUAGUUUAUUACCUAAAUUCUAGUUUAUUGUAAAUUUCAAUGUUUAUAAUAAAUAAUUAAUACUAAAAAAUAACGCUCUUGAAUCGUUUAAUCUGGUGCAAAAGAAUUACUAUAACUUAUUACGAUUUGCGCUUUGAAUAGUCAAUCAACAGAGUUCAGUCUAGCGAAAAAGUACUCCGUCCACAGCGAUCGUCAGCGCUAGCCGCGCGCCGUCCGUACGGACCGCAUACGACGCGAGUAUUCAGCACUCUAAGGGAUAAAGUCAUGACGUCUGGAUAAAUGGAUAGAAGAAAAAUGGACUUCCGCCACUAGGGGCUGUUUCCUAUUUUAUGUGCCGCAUUGAAUGUGUUAAUUAAAACGUCCCUCAUAAAUUAAAAGGAAAUCCAUAAGAAUGAUAAUAAUAAACUAUAUACAUGUACUAACAUAUUUAUUGUUUAAUCUUACUAUUUAUAAAAUCAAUUAUUUAUAAUUUUGUUUGUAAGGAACAAUGUUUACGAUAGAUGUUAAAAUUAAUACUUUUUUUAAAUAAAUAGAAAUUAAUAGUAAAUUAAAUUACAUUGAGCUAUGUUUCGUUCACAUUUUAGUGUUUCUUAUAUGUUAAUAGACAUCUCAUUAAAAAUGAAACUGAAUGUUUACGAAUAUUUUAGCUACGAAAGAAAGUAUUAUUCUUGACAAUAUUGAUAUGUAAUGAUACAAACAGUAUUGAAUCAUGAGGGUUGGCAAUAAUAUAUAAAUUAAACAACUAACUUUUUUGUUAUGAAUUGGAUAUGAUAUAAAAAAAAAACUAGUAAGUUUAUUGAGAUAUGGAAUAACGAAAGGAAUGAGGUGUUGGUAAGAAUUGACAAUUUUUAGUACGUACAAAAUUAUUGAUUAAAUUUUGUUAUUCAUGAAAUACUAUUUAUUAUUAAAUAACAUCAUUGUCAGUAAAUAUACGUCUUUUCAAAACCAUUAAAUUACGUUUCAAUUUAACUCUAACAUUUUAUUGCACCAAAUUGAAAGCUAUUUUUGAAGUUUCCAACAAGAGAAAAUAAAAAUAAUUAGAAUGUAAAAUUAUAUAUAAUAAUCAUAAAUAAGUUAAUGUUAUUAAAUAAUAAAUAAUAUUGAGGUAAUGUUUGGUGUAAGGUACCAAAGAAAUACUCGGCAGUAUUCAAUAAUAUAAUUAUUUGACAAUCAACAAUCCUUGCCUUCAACUGGUUUCAUACAGUCCUCAAUUACCACUGACUUCCUCGCGUCUCGACUAUGCUUCGCUGUUAAAACUCGACUC
This 2362-nucleotide unclassified non-coding RNA is filed under the name Bombus terrestris (buff-tailed bumblebee). RNAcentral's name for it is "misc RNA ENSBTSG00005035579.1". The record is from RNAcentral. Lineage: Eukaryota; Metazoa; Arthropoda; Insecta; Hymenoptera; Apidae.